Molecule: ribosomal RNA, 468 nt
Filed under: uncultured bacterium
Lineage: Bacteria
Description: partial 16S ribosomal RNA
Rfam family: Bacterial small subunit ribosomal RNA
Source: RNAcentral
GACGAACGCUGGCGGCGUGCUUAACACAUGCAAGUCGAACGGAAAGGCCCUGCUGUUGUGGGGUGCUCGAGUGGCGAACGGGUGAGUAACACGUGAGUAACCUGCCCUUGACUUUGGGAUAACUUCAGGAAACUGGGGCUAAUACCGGAUAGGAGCUCCUGCUGCAUGGUGGGGGUUGGAAAGUUUCGGCGGUUGGGGAUGGACGCGCGGCUUAUCAGCUUGUUGGUGGGGUAGUGGCUUACCAAGGCUUUGACGGGUAGCCGGCCUGAGAGGGUGACCGGCCCCCUUGGGACUGCGAUACGGCCCAGACUCCUACGGGAGGCAGCAGUGGGGAAUAUUGCCCAAUGGGCGGAAGCCUGAUGCAGCAACGCCGCGUGCGGGAUAACGGCCUUCGGGUUGUAAACCGCUUUCGCCUGUGCCGAAGCGUGAGUGACGGUAAUGGGUAAAGAAGCACCGGCUAACUACGUG